AAGAGUACGUGAAACCGUUCAGGGGUAAACCUGCGAAACUCGAAUGAACGAACGGAGAGAUUCAUCGUCAUUCCGCGGCGUACGUGCGCGCUCCUCGAUGUCUAUCGUACACGUCUAGUGCGCGUCGACGGACACGGGUCGCGUACGUUUAUACUACCGCGGACGGCGUGCACUUCUCUCUCAGUAUCUAUUUGCAUCGCGACCCGUUCGAUGUCGGUCUAAGCGCCGUUCGGGAGCCCCGCGGUCUGCGUUUGCGCGCAGUCUGCGGGACCGCGGCGGUCGCCGACCGGCCGUCGGACGGUAUACCGUAUAGAGGAAUCGCGCACGCGUUUCAAACGCGUCCGGCCCGACGCAAGGCGAUGCGUCGUCAUCGAGAUCCUGCCGUUAAGCGCGGAUAUCGGUGCGAUGCGCCUGUUGUCGCCGCCGUGUAGUCUCGGACUGUGCGCGUCUCUGUCUGCGAUGAUUCAGUUUCGGG
RNAcentral lists this ribosomal RNA (475 nucleotides) under Melittia gloriosa. Its description in RNAcentral is "partial large subunit ribosomal RNA". Lineage: Eukaryota; Metazoa; Arthropoda; Insecta; Lepidoptera; Sesiidae. The record is from RNAcentral.